Molecule: ribosomal RNA, 432 nt
Filed under: uncultured bacterium
Lineage: Bacteria
Description: partial 16S ribosomal RNA
Rfam family: Bacterial small subunit ribosomal RNA
Source: RNAcentral
AACGAACGCUGGCGGCAUGCCUAACACAUGCAAGUCGAACGAGACCUUCGGGUCUAGUGGCGCACGGGUGCGUAACGCGUGGGAACCUGCCCUUAGGUUCGGAAUAACUCCCCGAAAGGGGUGCUAAUACCGGAUAAUGUCUUCGGACCAAAGAUUUAUCGCCUUUGGAUGGGCCCGCGUUGGAUUAGCUAGUUGGUAGGGUAAAAGCCUACCAAGGCGACGAUCCAUAGCUGGUCUGAGAGGAUGAUCAGCCACACUGGGACUGAGACACGGCCCAGACUCCUACGGGAGGCAGCAGUGGGGAAUAUUGGACAAUGGGCGAAAGCCGGAUCCAGCAAUGCCGCGUGAGUGAUGAAGGCCUUAGGGUUGUAAAGCUCUUUUACCCGGGAUGAUAAUGACAGGACCGGGAGAAUAAGCUCCGGCUAACUCCGU